RNAcentral lists this ribosomal RNA (128 nucleotides) under Escherichia coli. Its description in RNAcentral is "partial 16S ribosomal RNA". It matches the Rfam family "Bacterial small subunit ribosomal RNA", at positions 1 to 119 of the family's 1533-position model. Lineage: Bacteria; Pseudomonadati; Pseudomonadota; Gammaproteobacteria; Enterobacterales; Enterobacteriaceae. The record is from RNAcentral. RNAcentral also lists the same sequence under 1 other name.
UUAAAUUGAAGAGUUUGAUCAUGGCUCAGAUUGAACGCUGGCGGCAGGCCUAACACAUGCAAGUCGAACGGUAACAGGAAGAAGCUUGCUUCUUUGCUGACGAGUGGCGGACGGGUGAGUAAUGUCUG